RNAcentral lists this ribosomal RNA (372 nucleotides) under uncultured organism. Its description in RNAcentral is "bacterial SSU rRNA". It matches the Rfam family "Bacterial small subunit ribosomal RNA", at positions 527 to 896 of the family's 1533-position model. The record is from RNAcentral.
GGAGGGUGCGAGCGUUGUCCGGAAUCACUGGGCGUAAAGGGCGCGUAGGUGGCGCGAGAAGUCAACGGUGAAAGCUCGGGGCUCAACCCCCGAGUCGGCCGUCGAUACUCUUGGGCUUGAGCACUGUAGAGGCAGGUGGAAUUCCGGGUGUAGCGGUGGAAUGCGUAGAGAUCCGGAAGAACACCGGUGGCGAAGGCGGCCUGCUGGGCAGUUGCUGACACUGAGGCGCGACAGCGUGGGGAGCAAACAGGAUUAGAUACCCUGGUAGUCCACGCCGUAAACGAUGGGCACUAGAUGCUUGGGGGAGCGACCCUCUGAGUGUCGGCGCUAACGCAUUAAGUGCCCCGCCUGGGGAGUACGGCCGCAAGGCUG